UAAAAACUAACUUUAGGACAAGUAUGAUGAU
RNAcentral lists this non-coding RNA (31 nucleotides) under Mus musculus (house mouse). The record is from RNAcentral. Lineage: Eukaryota; Metazoa; Chordata; Mammalia; Rodentia; Muridae.